CAGAGCGUAGCUAAAAUAGUAAAGCAUCUCCCUUACACCGAGAAGUCGUCCGUGCAAAUCAGACCGCCCUGA
This 72-nucleotide transfer RNA is filed under the name Aldrichetta forsteri (yellow-eye mullet). RNAcentral describes it as "tRNA-Val". It matches the Rfam family "tRNA". From Rfam's summary of the family: Transfer RNA (tRNA) molecules are approximately 80 nucleotides in length. Their secondary structure includes four short double-helical elements and three loops (D, anti-codon, and T loops). Further hydrogen bonds mediate the characteristic L-shaped molecular structure. tRNAs have two regions of fundamental functional importance: the anti-codon, which is responsible for specific mRNA codon recognition, and the 3' end, to which the tRNAs corresponding amino acid is attached (by aminoacyl-tRNA synthetases). tRNAs cope with the degeneracy of the genetic code in two manners: having more than one tRNA (with a specific anti-codon) for a particular amino acid; and 'wobble' base-pairing, i.e. permitting non-standard base-pairing at the 3rd anti-codon position. Lineage: Eukaryota; Metazoa; Chordata; Actinopteri; Mugiliformes; Mugilidae. The record is from RNAcentral.